RNAcentral lists this ribosomal RNA (494 nucleotides) under uncultured bacterium. RNAcentral describes it as "partial 16S ribosomal RNA". It matches the Rfam family "Bacterial small subunit ribosomal RNA", at positions 28 to 507 of the family's 1533-position model. The record is from RNAcentral.
GACGAACGCUGGCGGCGCGCUUAACGCAUGCAAGUCGAACGGAAAGGCCUGCUUUCCCUUGUGGAUUGCGGGUACUCGAGUGGCGAACGGGUGAGUAACACGUGAGUGAUCUGCCCCCAACUUGGGUAUAAGCCUGGGAAACUGGGUCUAAUUCCCGAUAGGACUGCAGGGUGGUGCCUGUGGUGGAAAACGAUUUUCUAGUGGUUGGGGAUGAGCUCGCGGCCUAUCAGCUUGUUGGUGGGGUAAUGGCCUACCAAGGCGGCGACGGGUAGCCGGCCUGAGAGGGUGGACGGCCACAUUGGGACUGAGAUACGGCCCAGACUCCGACGGGAGGCAGCAGUGGGGAAUAUUGCACAAUGGGCGGAAGCCUGAGGCAGCGACGCCGCGUGGGGGAUGACGGCCUUCGGGUUGUAAACUCCUUUCGACCGCGAGGAAGCCACCUGGUUGGAAGGGUGGUGACGGUAGUGGUAGAAGAAGCACCGGCUAACUACGUG